CACAGUGUGAGAUGUGACUCACUUCUUAGUAAACUGAAAGUGGAGAGACUCACUAGAGCGACCAGGAUAGCAGAUAAAUUGGAGCUUGGGGUCACUUAAAAGUGAUGUGAGUCUGAUCAAGAAGCUUCUGCAAGAGAGGAGCCUGCAGCCAACUUUCAGCCUCAUAAUAAAUGUCCAAGAAUGUGAUUGCUGGGUCAUAAGCGAAGUGUGUAAUUUCUACUAAGCUGCCAGACCAAUUUAAGAG
RNAcentral lists this long non-coding RNA (244 nucleotides) under Homo sapiens (human). RNAcentral describes it as "HSALNT0328722". Lineage: Eukaryota; Metazoa; Chordata; Mammalia; Primates; Hominidae. The record is from RNAcentral.